GAGCUCAUGCCCCUAUGGGUAGAUCUCCACCCUUGAAUAAACAAACCUUUGUUGCUUUGGCGAGCCGCUUCGGCUAUUGGCUUCGGCUGGUAAGUGCUCGCCAGAGAAACCAAAACUCUGAAUUAUAUUGUCGUCUGAGUACUAUAAAAUAGUUAAAACUUUCAACAACGGAUCUCUUGGUUCU
This 184-nucleotide unclassified non-coding RNA is filed under the name rhizosphere metagenome. RNAcentral's name for it is "partial ribosomal RNA internal transcribed spacer region". The record is from RNAcentral.